Molecule: ribosomal RNA, 1372 nt
Filed under: Salmonella enterica subsp. enterica serovar Enteritidis
Lineage: Bacteria; Pseudomonadati; Pseudomonadota; Gammaproteobacteria; Enterobacterales; Enterobacteriaceae
Description: partial 23S ribosomal RNA
Rfam family: Bacterial large subunit ribosomal RNA
Source: RNAcentral
GUGUGUUCCAGGUAAAUCCGGUUCACUUUAACACUGAGGCGUGACGACGAGGCACUACGGUGCUGAAGCAACAAAUGCCCUGCUUCCAGGAAAAGCCUCUAAGCAUCAGGUAACAUCAAAUCGUACCCCAAACCGACACAGGUGGUCAGGUAGAGAAUACCAAGGCGCUUGAGAGAACUCGGGUGAAGGAACUAGGCAAAAUGGUGCCGUAACUUCGGGAGAAGGCACGCUGACACGUAGGUGAAGUGAUUUACUCAUGGAGCUGAAGUCAGUCGAAGAUACCAGCUGGCUGCAACUGUUUAUUAAAAACACAGCACUGUGCAAACACGAAAGUGGACGUAUACGGUGUGACGCCUGCCCGGUGCCGGAAGGUUAAUUGAUGGGGUCAGCGCAAGCGAAGCUCCUGAUCGAAGCCCCGGUAAACGGCGGCCGUAACUAUAACGGUCCUAAGGUAGCGAAAUUCCUUGUCGGGUAAGUUCCGACCUGCACGAAUGGCGUAAUGAUGGCCAGGCUGUCUCCACCCGAGACUCAGUGAAAUUGAACUCGCUGUGAAGAUGCAGUGUACCCGCGGCAAGACGGAAAGACCCCGUGAACCUUUACUAUAGCUUGACACUGAACAUUGAGCCUUGAUGUGUAGGAUAGGUGGGAGGCUUUGAAGUGUGGACGCCAGUCUGCAUGGAGCCGACCUUGAAAUACCACCCUUUAAUGUUUGAUGUUCUAACGUGGACCCGUUACCCGGGUUGCGGACAGUGUCUGGUGGGUAGUUUGACUGGGGCGGUCUCCUCCUAAAGAGUAACGGAGGAGCACGAAGGUUGGCUAAUCCUGGUCGGACAUCAGGAGGUUAGUGCAAUGGCAUAAGCCAGCUUGACUGCGAGCGUGACGGCGCGAGCAGGUGCGAAAGCAGGUCAUAGUGAUCCGGUGGUUCUGAAUGGAAGGGCCAUCGCUCAACGGAUAAAAGGUACUCCGGGGAUAACAGGCUGAUACCGCCCAAGAGUUCAUAUCGACGGCGGUGUUUGGCACCUCGAUGUCGGCUCAUCACAUCCUGGGGCUGAAGUAGGUCCCAAGGGUAUGGCUGUUCGCCAUUUAAAGUGGUACGCGAGCUGGGUUUAGAACGUCGUGAGACAGUUCGGUCCCUAUCUGCCGUGGGCGCUGGAGAACUGAGGGGGGCUGCUCCUAGUACGAGAGGACCGGAGUGGACGCAUCACUGGUGUUCGGGUUGUCAUGCCAAUGGCACUGCCCGGUAGCUAAAUGCGGAAGAGAUAAGUGCUGAAAGCAUCUAAGCACGAAACUUGCCCCGAGAUGAGUUCUCCCUGAGACUUAGAGUCUCCUGAAGGAACGUUGAAGACGACGACGUUGAUAGGCCGGGUGUGUA